GUUACUCAACUCGUUAGUUUUGAUCGAUUCUUUUAUAAAAACAGUUGCAUUUCUUGAAACGAACGAUCUUUUACUCAGUUUCAAUAUAGAAAAAUCUAUAUUUGAUUGUUUCGUGUAAAAUACAUACACGAUAUUUUCUAUCGGUCAGGUGAAUUCAUAAAAUUUGCUUAUUUAAUAUACUAAUUAACGUUUACGUAACUAAACCAUAACACGCAUAUUUAAUAUAACCAACGUUCGAUGACGUCAGGUAAGCGCUCUUAAAAUGGCGUCGGAUAAACGAAAUAUUACGAAAUUCAGUAAAAAUUGCACUGUCGGUCAAUCGGAAACUUGGUCCGAAAUUACUGGACGAACCAGAGGAAUGAUUUGUUCUAGUUUUGGGGGUGGCGACGUUCGAUUAUAGAAAAUCUCGCUUCCAACCCCUUGUGGAGAAUGGAAACCGAAGACAGAGGGUGAUAGGGAGUCUCUCGAUCCCAAUCCGUCGUCAUUCCGGGGAUAGAAACGUAAAAAAUGCAGAUAUUUAGCCUUAAAAUUCAAAAAGAAUCCAUGACGUCAAUCGCAUUGGAAUUCGUUACGCGCUUUUCUAAUCUCCAUAGAAACGGCAACAAUUGCUGUUUCUAUUGUUGCAACACGAUUUUGCGUCACUUUGCACGUUUUUCGCUUGCUGUGAGGACGUGUGCGCUCUUUGCUCCUGUUUUCGCUGUGUUUUUUGCCUUCUUCAGUGUUCUUUUCUACCGGAACGUGGUUUUAAGAAGACUUGUGGACGCCGACGUUAUACCAAAAUGAAGAUGUUGGAGUGGUUUCGCCGGAGGUUUCGACGGAAGAAUGCGGUGGCGCCGGAGGGAGGGGGUUCCUCGGACGGCUCCGAUGAGACGUUCGAGGACCGUGGGCUCGACUGGGUCUCUGUCGAAUCGAUUAGUUCGGUGUCUUUGGAGACCGUCGAGCGAGAGGCAGAGGGUGGUGACGACCUUCCCCCAGUGCGUGUGGCGUGGGACUCUCCCGGAGGCGGGAGAGUUCUGAGUCCAUUCCACUUGGUCAAUGUCGUCAGGGAUCAGCCGGCCACAAGCCUUGUUGUGGAAGACGUAGAGAGUGACGAGUUCUGUUGGAGUUCGACGUCACUUUCUACUUUCGCGUGGUCUGCCUCUCUGUACGCGCUCGCGAGCUGGUCGCCAUCGUCUUUCCGAAGUCGGAACGGGGAAGCAUCGGAAAAGAGCGCCGCCGAAGUCGAGGAACCGCGGUUUUGUUGCUGCGGGUGGCUGAGGUUCCCUCGGCCUAGGCGGUGAUCCUCUUCGAUUUUCCCCAACUCGUCCUUUGCAUCCGGAUGCGACAUUCUGACCGGAUUCGACACUUUUCACCCGGACAUGACCUCUUUACUCAGACGUGACCUUCUCUUACCCGGAUGUUCUCACGGACUUGUCUCCCGAACGUGACACUCGAUCGAUGACAACGGAUUUGACUUCCGAUUGUGACCACCCGAACUUGACACGUUUCUUCACCGGACGCGACAUUCGGCCGACCUUUCUUCCCAAACAGCUGUUACGAGGAUUGAGCUUCCGGUUAGGUUAGGUUAGGUUAGGCUAGGUUAGGUCAGGUCCUUCGCUCUCCUCAUGACACUGUUCGGGAAGAAAGACUAUCUGAUAAAGGUAAUAAUAUUGACCUUAGAUAAUAAAUUAAUCAACUUCUCCUUUUCUCACUGUCUUUGUGUUUUGUAGGAACAUUUGGGAGGGAGAAGGAUCUCCCUCCCCAACUUUACCACGAGGAAGACGAAGUGGCCAUUUAUCGUACAAGUGAAUGUUUUCCGAAAUCUUCGAUGACAUGCCGAAGAUGUUCUUGGAUCACGCACACACGCGCAUACGCACGCACGCACGCACGCACGCACUGACAUAACAUCACUGUACACGAAGAUAUACACCGUUUAACCUUUACUCGAAUUCUCGCACUCACGCAUUUACACGUCAAGCGCCACGUUCUGUGUAAUUCCA
Molecule: long non-coding RNA, 1979 nt
Filed under: Centruroides sculpturatus (bark scorpion)
Lineage: Eukaryota; Metazoa; Arthropoda; Arachnida; Scorpiones; Buthidae
Description: uncharacterized LOC111628322
Source: RNAcentral